This 73-nucleotide transfer RNA is filed under the name Trichonephila inaurata madagascariensis. It matches the Rfam family "tRNA". From Rfam's summary of the family: Transfer RNA (tRNA) molecules are approximately 80 nucleotides in length. Their secondary structure includes four short double-helical elements and three loops (D, anti-codon, and T loops). Further hydrogen bonds mediate the characteristic L-shaped molecular structure. tRNAs have two regions of fundamental functional importance: the anti-codon, which is responsible for specific mRNA codon recognition, and the 3' end, to which the tRNAs corresponding amino acid is attached (by aminoacyl-tRNA synthetases). tRNAs cope with the degeneracy of the genetic code in two manners: having more than one tRNA (with a specific anti-codon) for a particular amino acid; and 'wobble' base-pairing, i.e. permitting non-standard base-pairing at the 3rd anti-codon position. Lineage: Eukaryota; Metazoa; Arthropoda; Arachnida; Araneae; Nephilidae. The record is from Rfam by way of RNAcentral.
GUCUCUGUAGCGCAGUGGAUAGCGCGUUAGACUUCUAAUCCAAAGGUCGUAGGUCCGAAUCCCACUUGGGAUG